UNCCCCUAUGCCUACUUUUAUCUGUCAGU
Molecule: non-coding RNA, 29 nt
Filed under: Mus musculus (house mouse)
Lineage: Eukaryota; Metazoa; Chordata; Mammalia; Rodentia; Muridae
Source: RNAcentral